RNAcentral lists this ribosomal RNA (452 nucleotides) under uncultured bacterium. RNAcentral describes it as "bacterial SSU rRNA". It matches the Rfam family "Bacterial small subunit ribosomal RNA", at positions 100 to 565 of the family's 1533-position model. The record is from RNAcentral.
GGACGGGUGAGUAACGCGUGAGCAAUCUGCCUCGUACAGGGGGAUAACAGCCGGAAACGGUUGCUAAUACCCCAUGAGACCACAAUAUCGCAUGGUAAAGAGGUCAAAGGAGUAAUCCGGUAUGAGAUGAGCUCGCGUCCCAUUAGCUAGUUGGUGGAGUAACGGUUCACCAAGGCGACGAUGGGUAGCCGACCUGAGAGGGUGAUCGGCCACACUGGGACUGAGACACGGCCCAGACUCCUACGGGAGGCAGCAGUGGGGAAUAUUGCGCAAUGGGGGGAACCCUGACGCAGCAACGCCGCGUGAGUGAAGAAGGUCUUCGGGUCGUAAAACUCUGUCAUUGGGGAAGAAAAAAAUGACGGUACCCAAUGAGGAAGCCCCGGCUAACUACGUGCCAGCAGCCGCGGUAAUACGUAGGGGGCAAGCGUUGUCCGGAAUUACUGGGCGUAAAG